Molecule: ribosomal RNA, 497 nt
Filed under: uncultured bacterium
Lineage: Bacteria
Description: partial 16S ribosomal RNA
Rfam family: Bacterial small subunit ribosomal RNA
Source: RNAcentral
GAUGAACGCUGGCGGCGUGCCUAAUACAUGCAAGUCGAGCGAACGGACGAGAAGCUUGCUUCUCUGAUGUUAGCGGCGGACGGGAGAGUAACACGUGGAUAACCUACCUAUAAGACUGGGAUAACUUCGGGAAACCGGAGCUAAUACCGGAUAAUAUUUUGAACCGCAUGGUUCAAAAGUGAAAGACGGUCUUGCUGUCACUUAUAGAUGGAUCCGCGCUGCAUUAGCUAGUUGGUAAGGUAACGGCUUACCAAGGCAACGAUGCAUAGCCGACCUGAGAGGGUGAUCGGCCACACUGGAACUGAGACACGGUCCAGACUCCUACGGGAGGCAGCAGUAGGGAAUCUUCCGCGAUGGGCGAAAGCCUGACGGAGCAACGCCGCGUGAGUGAUGAAGGUCUUCGGAUCGUAAAACUCUGUUAUUAGGGAAGAACAUAUGUGUAAGUAACUGUGCACAUCUUGACGGUACCUAAUCAGAAAGCCACGGCUAACUACGUG